AACGAACGCUGGCGGCAGGCCUAACACAUGCAAGUCGAACGCUCCAGCAAUGGAGAGUGGCAGACGGGUGAAUAACGCGUGGGAACCUACCCUUUGGUUCGGAAUAGCCCAGGGAAGCUUGGGGUAAUACCGGAUAAGCCCUUCGGGGGAAAGAUUUAUCGCCAAUGGAUGGGCCCGCGUCGGAUUAGCUAGUUGGUGGGGUAACGGCCCACCAAGGCGACGAUCCGUAGCUGGUCUGAGAGGAUGAUCAGCCACACUGGGACUGAGACACGGCCCAGACUCCUACGGGAGGCAGCAGUGGGGAAUAUUGGACAAUGGGCGCAAGCCUGAUCCAGCCAUGCCGCGUGAGUGACGAAGGUCUUCGGAUUGUAAAGCUCUUUUGGCGGGGAAGAUAAUGACGGUACCCGCAGAAUAAGCCCCGGCCAACUUCGUGCCAGCCGCCGCGGUAA
Molecule: ribosomal RNA, 449 nt
Filed under: uncultured bacterium
Lineage: Bacteria
Description: partial 16S ribosomal RNA
Rfam family: Bacterial small subunit ribosomal RNA
Source: RNAcentral